GUCCAGGUGGUGCAGUGGUUUGAGCAUUGGCCUACAACUCUGAAGACCAGGGUUUGAAUCCCUGCUCGGCCA
This is a non-coding RNA of Phrynosoma platyrhinos (Desert horned lizard), 72 nucleotides long. The record is from the annotation of a GenBank genome assembly. NCBI's taxonomy places the organism in Eukaryota, Metazoa, Chordata, Lepidosauria, Squamata, Phrynosomatidae.